AAAGCAUGGCUUUCAGUACAAGAAGUGUGAUAUUUGCACACUAUUACCAUGUAGGAGAAUUCACAAUUUUGAGAUGCAGUUCGACGUGCUUGUUAAUUUACUGCAAGUAACUAGUGCAGUUUUUCAGGGUCUCUGAGGAGAUGGUCAAAUGGCCUGUGGCUGCAAAAGCUAUAGGUUUCAUGUUGGGGAUCAGUUUUUCCAUCAUUCGUGGGUGUUUCCAUCUCCUAAUGCCAGAAUUAUGGAUGCAUCAAGACAGUUUGAUGAUCUGGUGGCAGUAUGUGGUGUUUGCUACACAUGGAUCUUGCAUGUUGAGGCAAUUAUACUGUGUCUGAAAGUGUAAUCUGAUGCACUUGAUGUGGAUUUGGCAGAUGUCUUAAGUCAAUGAGGUGCAGUAAGUCCAGCUGUAUUCACCAUGAUCCCGGUUCCUGGUUCAUCUUGGGAGGUUUUCCUGUGGUGCUGAUCUUCGCAUUGGAUUUAAAUAAAGUUCUUCGGUAAUCUUGUAUGGCAGUAUGUAUUUAACUGUUCUUGUGGAAUACAUGAAUUUGCCG
This is a long non-coding RNA of Daphnia carinata, 548 nucleotides long. RefSeq lists it as uncharacterized. NCBI's taxonomy places the organism in Eukaryota, Metazoa, Arthropoda, Branchiopoda, Diplostraca, Daphniidae. The record is from RefSeq and is a predicted model, not a curated record. The transcript has 7 exons.